This 72-nucleotide transfer RNA is filed under the name Colaspidea globosa. RNAcentral's name for it is "tRNA-Lys". The record is from RNAcentral. Lineage: Eukaryota; Metazoa; Arthropoda; Insecta; Coleoptera; Chrysomelidae.
CAUUAGGUGGCUGAAUAGUUAAGCAAUGGAAUUUUAAACCAUUUUAUAGUAAUCUAACACUUACUUCUAAUG